Molecule: ribosomal RNA, 253 nt
Filed under: uncultured bacterium
Lineage: Bacteria
Description: partial 16S ribosomal RNA
Rfam family: Bacterial small subunit ribosomal RNA
Source: RNAcentral
UACAGAGGGUGCAAGCGUUGUUCGGAAUUACUGGGCGUAAAGCGUGCGCAGGCGGUUCGCUGUGUCCUGUGUGAAAGCCCCGGGCUUAACCUGGGAAUGGCAUGGGAAACUGGCGGGCUGGAGUGUGGCAGAGGGGGGUGGAAUUCCGCGUGUAGCAGUGAAAUGCGUAGAGAUGCGGAGGAACACCGAUGGCGAAGGCAGCCCCCUGGGCUAACACUGACGCUCAGGCACGAAAGCGUGGGGAGCAAACAGG